GGUUAAGCGACUAAGCGUACACGGUGGAUGCCCUGGCAGUCAGAGGCGAUGAAGGGCGUGCUAAUCUGCGAUAAGCGCCGGUAAGGUGAUAUGAACCGUUAUAACCGGCGAUACCCGAAUGGGGAAACCCAGUGUGAUUCGUCACACUAUCAUUAACUGAAUCCAUAGGUUAAUGAGGCGAACCGGGGGAACUGAAACAUCUAAGUACCCCGAGGAAAAGAAAUCAACCGAGAUUCCCCCAGUAGCGGCGAGCGAACGGGGAGGAGCCCAGAGCCUGAAUCAGCAUGUGUGUUAGUGGAAGCGUCUGGAAAGGCGCGCGAUACAGGGUGACAGCCCCGUACACAAAAGCGCAUGUGCUGUGAGCUCGAUGAGUAGGGCGGGACACGUGGUAUCCUGUCUGAAUAUGGGGGGACCAUCCUCCAAGGCUAAAUACUCCUGACUGACCGAUAGUGAACCAGUACCGUGAGGGAAAGGCGAAAAGAACCCCGGCGAGGGGAGUGAAAAAGAACCUGAAACCGUGUACGUACAAGCAGUGGGAGCACAGGUUUACCUGUGUGACUGCGUACCUUUUGUAUAAUGGGUCAGCGACUUAUAUUCUGUAGCAAGGUUAACCGAAUAGGGGAGCCGGAGGGAAACCGAGUCUUAAUUGGGCGUUAAGUUGCAGGGUAUAGACCCGAAACCCGGUGAUCUAGCCAUGGGCAGGUUGAAGGUUGGGUAACACUAACUGGAGGACCGAACCGACUAAUGUUGAAAAAUUAGCGGAUGACCUGUGGCUGGGGGUGAAAGGCCAAUCAAACCGGGAGAUAGCUGGUUCUCCCCGAAAGCUAUUUAGGUAGCGCCUCGUGAAUUCAUCUCCGGGGGUAGAGCACUGUUUCGGCUAGGGGGCCAUCCCGGCUUACCAACCCGAUGCAAACUGCGAAUACCGGAGAAUGUUAUCACGGGAGACACACGGCGGGUGCUAACGUCCGUCGUGAAGAGGGAAACAACCCAGACCGCCAGCUAAGGUCCCAAAGUCAUGGUUAAGUGGGAAACGAUGUGGGAAGGCCCAGACAGCCAGGAUGUUGGCUUAGAAGCAGCCAUCAUUUAAAGAAAGCGUAAUAGCUCACUGGUCGAGUCGGCCUGCGCGGAAGAUGUAACGGGGCUAAACCAUGCACCGAAGCUGCGGCAGCGACGCUGAUGCGUUGUUGGGUAGGGGAGCGUUCUGUAAGCCUGCGAAGGUGACCUGUGAGGGUUGCUGGAGGUAUCAGAAGUGCGAAUGCUGACAUAAGUAACGAUAAAGCGGGUGAAAAGCCCGCUCGCCGGAAGACCAAGGGUUCCUGUCCAACGUUAAUCGGGGCAGGGUGAGUCGACCCCUAAGGCGAGGCCGAAAGGCGUAGUCGAUGGGAAACGGGUUAAUAUUCCCGUACUUGGUGUUACUGCGAAGGGGGGACGGAGAAGGCUAUGUUGGCCGGGCGACGGUUGUCCCGGUUUAAGCGUGUAGGUGUGUGUUCCAGGUAAAUCCGGUUCACUUUAACACUGAGGCGUGACGACGAGGCACUACGGUGCUGAAGCAACAAAUGCCCUGCUUCCAGGAAAAGCCUCUAAGCAUCAGGUAACACGAAAUCGUACCCCAAACCGACACAGGUGGUCAGGUAGAGAAUACCAAGGCGCUUGAGAGAACUCGGGUGAAGGAACUAGGCAAAAUGGUGCCGUAACUUCGGGAGAAGGCACGCUGACACGUAGGUGAAGUGAUUUACUCAUGGAGCUGAAGUCAGUCGAAGAUACCAGCUGGCUGCAACUGUUUAUUAAAAACACAGCACUGUGCAAACACGAAAGUGGACGUAUACGGUGUGACGCCUGCCCGGUGCCGGAAGGUUAAUUGAUGGGGUCAGCGCAAGCGAAGCUCCUGAUCGAAGCCCCGGUAAACGGCGGCCGUAACUAUAACGGUCCUAAGGUAGCGAAAUUCCUUGUCGGGUAAGUUCCGACCUGCACGAAUGGCGUAAUGAUGGCCAGGCUGUCUCCACCCGAGACUCAGUGAAAUUGAACUCGCUGUGAAGAUGCAGUGUACCCGCGGCAAGACGGAAAGACCCCGUGAACCUUUACUAUAGCUUGACACUGAACAUUGAGCCUUGAUGUGUAGGAUAGGUGGGAGGCUUUGAAGUGUGGACGCCAGUCUGCAUGGAGCCGACCUUGAAAUACCACCCUUUAAUGUUUGAUGUUCUAACGUGGACCCGUAAUCCGGGUUGCGGACAGUGUCUGGUGGGUAGUUUGACUGGGGCGGUCUCCUCCUAAAGAGUAACGGAGGAGCACGAAGGUUGGCUAAUCCUGGUCGGACAUCAGGAGGUUAGUGCAAUGGCAUAAGCCAGCUUGACUGCGAGCGUGACGGCGCGAGCAGGUGCGAAAGCAGGUCAUAGUGAUCCGGUGGUUCUGAAUGGAAGGGCCAUCGCUCAACGGAUAAAAGGUACUCCGGGGAUAACAGGCUGAUACCGCCCAAGAGUUCAUAUCGACGGCGGUGUUUGGCACCUCGAUGUCGGCUCAUCACAUCCUGGGGCUGAAGUAGGUCCCAAGGGUAUGGCUGUUCGCCAUUUAAAGUGGUACGCGAGCUGGGUUUAGAACGUCGUGAGACAGUUCGGUCCCUAUCUGCCGUGGGCGCUGGAGAACUGAGGGGGGCUGCUCCUAGUACGAGAGGACCGGAGUGGACGCAUCACUGGUGUUCGGGUUGUCAUGCCAAUGGCACUGCCCGGUAGCUAAAUGCGGAAGAGAUAAGUGCUGAAAGCAUCUAAGCACGAAACUUGCCCCGAGAUGAGUUCUCCCUGAGACUUAGAGUCUCCUGAAGGAACGUUGAAGACGACGACGUUGAUAGGCCGGGUGUGUAAGCGCAGCGAUGCGUUGAGCUAACCGGUACUAAUGAACCGUGAGGCUUAACCUU
This 2908-nucleotide ribosomal RNA is filed under the name Salmonella enterica. RNAcentral's name for it is "23S ribosomal RNA". It matches the Rfam family "Bacterial large subunit ribosomal RNA". The record is from RNAcentral. RNAcentral also lists the same sequence under 2 other names. Lineage: Bacteria; Pseudomonadati; Pseudomonadota; Gammaproteobacteria; Enterobacterales; Enterobacteriaceae.